CAGCUCCUGGGAAGCGGUCGGCAUGUCCCUCUGGCUCCUAGGAGCCCAGUAGGGACCCUGCCAGCCCUACUGCGCCACCAACUGGACGUUUAACGGCCCCGUCAGCAGUGCUGACCAGAGCCGCCAGGGUCCCUUUUUGACCAGGUGUUCCAGUCAAAAACCGGACACCAGGCAACCUUAGCAUCAAGAACAUUUGGGUUCCCCACAUACCCCUCGCCACAGGGCUCCACUCCCUGCUCCUCCCCUUCCCCCCCAAAGCCCCACCCCCCCGGCCAGGUCUAGAAGUUGGAGCCGGAUCAUGGUAAGGGCUGCCCAGGAACCCUGGGCUGCUAUGGCCGCGGGGACAUGUGGUGGCCCGUGCAUUGAUCUGCCACUGUGUAGCACACAUUCCCACCUCUUCACAUUUUUUUGUUUGUUCCGACGGAUGCUUGGAAUGGUUCUUUUGCAGGAUGAUGUGCACAUGUGCCAUGAGGUGCAAGGGAUGUGCCCUGUUAUGCCCUCAUGCUACCAGUGCCGAUGCCAUGGUAGAGAAUGACAAGCCUUCGCCUGAGCCAGUGCUAGAUACACUGUGUGCUGGCAUAUCUGGCUAUUAGGAAGAGCCCGUCGCCAUUUUAGGGGUGGAUCUCAAGGAGGAGCCAGACAUAGGAUUUAGUCCUGGUCUGGAGAGAGGACAUCUCUAGUGAGUAACCCCAUCUCUCUUCCCCCACAUAAUGUAGUGGAGUUCACAGGGGAAUAUAUUGCGUCUUCAUGAUGGCUGGAGGAAGGGGACAGCAGCAAGUGGCUUCUGGAGCAACACGGGAUGGGCUGUGGGAGAGGCUGAUGGGGCAUCAGCCAGACUUGUGAUAGCAAUCCCAAUAAA
This is a long non-coding RNA of Trachemys scripta elegans, 859 nucleotides long. RefSeq lists it as uncharacterized. The transcript is spliced from 3 exons. The record is from RefSeq and is a predicted model, not a curated record. Lineage: Eukaryota; Metazoa; Chordata; Testudines; Emydidae.